This 415-nucleotide ribosomal RNA is filed under the name uncultured bacterium. Its description in RNAcentral is "bacterial SSU rRNA". It matches the Rfam family "Bacterial small subunit ribosomal RNA", at positions 355 to 786 of the family's 1533-position model. The record is from RNAcentral.
UGGGGGAUAUUGCACAAUGGGGGGAAACCCUGAUGCAGCGACGCCGCGUGAGUGAAGAAGUAUUUCGGUAUGUAAAGCUCUAUCAGCAGGGAAGAAGAUGACAGUACCUGAGUAAGAAGCCCCGGCUAACUACGUGCCAGCAGCCGCGGUAAUACGUAGGGGGCAAGCGUUAUCCGGAUUUACUGGGUGUAAAGGGAGCGCAGACGGAUGGAUAAGUCUGAAGUGAAAGCCCGCGGCUCAACUGCGGGACUGCUUUGGAAACUGUGCAUCUUGAGUACGGGAGGGGCAGGCGGAAUUCCUGGUGUAGCGGUGAAAUGCGUAGAUAUCAGGAGGAACACCGGCGGCGAAGGCGGCCUGCUGGACCGAAACUGACGUUGAGGCUCGAAAGCGUGGGGAGCAAACAGGAUUAGAUACC